This 864-nucleotide ribosomal RNA is filed under the name Escherichia coli. Its description in RNAcentral is "partial 23S ribosomal RNA". It matches the Rfam family "Bacterial large subunit ribosomal RNA", at positions 1935 to 2798 of the family's 2925-position model. The record is from RNAcentral. Lineage: Bacteria; Pseudomonadati; Pseudomonadota; Gammaproteobacteria; Enterobacterales; Enterobacteriaceae.
CGUAACUAUAACGGUCCUAAGGUAGCGAAAUUCCUUGUCGGGUAAGUUCCGACCUGCACGAAUGGCGUAAUGAUGGCCAGGCUGUCUCCACCCGAGACUCAGUGAAAUUGAACUCGCUGUGAAGAUGCAGUGUACCCGCGGCAAGACGGAAAGACCCCGUGAACCUUUACUAUAGCUUGACACUGAACAUUGAGCCUUGAUGUGUAGGAUAGGUGGGAGGCUUUGAAGUGUGGACGCCAGUCUGCAUGGAGCCGACCUUGAAAUACCACCCUUUAAUGUUUGAUGUUCUAACGUUGACCCGUAAUCCGGGUUGCGGACAGUGUCUGGUGGGUAGUUUGACUGGGGCGGUCUCCUCCUAAAGAGUAACGGAGGAGCACGAAGGUUGGCUAAUCCUGGUCGGACAUCAGGAGGUUAGUGCAAUGGCAUAAGCCAGCUUGACUGCGAGCGUGACGGCGCGAGCAGGUGCGAAAGCAGGUCAUAGUGAUCCGGUGGUUCUGAAUGGAAGGGCCAUCGCUCAACGGAUAAAAGGUACUCCGGGGAUAACAGGCUGAUACCGCCCAAGAGUUCAUAUCGACGGCGGUGUUUGGCACCUCGAUGUCGGCUCAUCACAUCCUGGGGCUGAAGUAGGUCCCAAGGGUAUGGCUGUUCGCCAUUUAAAGUGGUACGCGAGCUGGGUUUAGAACGUCGUGAGACAGUUCGGUCCCUAUCUGCCGUGGGCGCUGGAGAACUGAGGGGGGCUGCUCCUAGUACGAGAGGACCGGAGUGGACGCAUCACUGGUGUUCGGGUUGUCAUGCCAAUGGCACUGCCCGGUAGCUAAAUGCGGAAGAGAUAAGUGCUGAAAGCAUCUAAGCACGAAACUUGCC